Molecule: ribosomal RNA, 1446 nt
Filed under: uncultured organism
Description: SSU rRNA
Rfam family: Bacterial small subunit ribosomal RNA
Source: RNAcentral
UGAACGCUAGCUACAGGCUUAACACAUGCAAGUCGAGGGGCAUCAGGAAGAAAGCUUGCUUUCUUUGCUGGCGACCGGCGCACGGGUGAGUAACACGUAUCCAACCUGCCCUUUACUCGGGGAUAGCCUUUCGAAAGAAAGAUUAAUACCCGAUAGCAUAAUGAUUCCGCAUGGUUUCAUUAUUAAAGGAUUCCGGUAAAGGAUGGGGAUGCGUUCCAUUAGGUUGUUGGUGAGGUAACGGCCCACCAAGCCUUCGAUGGAUAGGGGUUCUGAGAGGAAGGUCCCCCACAUUGGAACUGAGACACGGUCCAAACUCCUACGGGAGGCAGCAGUGAGGAAUAUUGGUCAAUGGGCGCUAGCCUGAACCAGCCAAGUAGCGUGAAGGAUGAAGGCUCUAUGGGUCGUAAACUUCUUUUAUAUAAGAAUAAAGUGCAGUAUGUAUACUGUUUUGUAUGUAUUAUAUGAAUAAGGAUCGGCUAACUCCGUGCCAGCAGCCGCGGUAAUACGGAGGAUCCGAGCGUUAUCCGGAUUUAUUGGGUUUAAAGGGAGCGUAGGUGGACUGGUAAGUCAGUUGUGAAAGUUUGCGGCUCAACCGUAAAAUUGCAGUUGAUACUGUCAGUCUUGAGUACAGUAGAGGUGGGCGGAAUUCGUGGUGUAGCGGUGAAAUGCUUAGAUAUCACGAAGAACUCCGAUUGCGAAGGCAGCUCACUGGACUGCAACUGACACUGAUGCUCGAAAGUGUGGGUAUCAAACAGGAUUAGAUACCCUGGUAGUCCACACAGUAAACGAUGAAUACUCGCUGUUUGCGAUAUACAGUAAGCGGCCAAGCGAAAGCAUUAAGUAUUCCACCUGGGGAGUACGCCGGCAACGGUGAAACUCAAAGGAAUUGACGGGGGCCCGCACAAGCGGAGGAACAUGUGGUUUAAUUCGAUGAUACGCGAGGAACCUUACCCGGGCUUAAAUUGCAGUGGAAUGAUGUGGAAACAUGUCAGUGAGCAAUCACCGCUGUGAAGGUGCUGCAUGGUUGUCGUCAGCUCGUGCCGUGAGGUGUCGGCUUAAGUGCCAUAACGAGCGCAACCCUUAUCUUUAGUUACUAACAGGUUAUGCUGAGGACUCUAGAGAGACUGCCGUCGUAAGAUGUGAGGAAGGUGGGGAUGACGUCAAAUCAGCACGGCCCUUACGUCCGGGGCUACACACGUGUUACAAUGGGGGGUACAGAAGGCAGCUAGCGGGUGACCGUAUGCUAAUCCCAAAAUCCUCUCUCAGUUCGGAUCGAAGUCUGCAACCCGACUUCGUGAAGCUGGAUUCGCUAGUAAUCGCGCAUCAGCCACGGCGCGGUGAAUACGUUCCCGGGCCUUGUACACACCGCCCGUCAAGCCAUGGGAGCCGGGGGUACCUGAAGUACGUAACCGCAAGGAUCGUCCUAGGGUAAAACUGGUGACUGGG